GCACUGCUGAGGAGUCUCCUAUUACCGGGACGAAACGGCCGUCCAGUGC
RNAcentral lists this non-coding RNA (49 nucleotides) under Schistosoma margrebowiei. Lineage: Eukaryota; Metazoa; Platyhelminthes; Trematoda; Strigeidida; Schistosomatidae. The record is from RNAcentral.